GGGAGUGAAAUAGAACCUGAAACCGUGUGCUUACAAGUAGUCAGAGCCCGUUAAUGGGUGAUGGCGUGCCUUUUGUAGAAUGAACCGGCGAGUUACGAUUUGAUGCAAGGUUAAGCAGUAAAUGUGGAGCCGUAGCGAAAGCGAGUCUGAAUAGGGCGUUUAGUAUUUGGUCGUAGACCCGAAACCAGGUGAUCUACCCUUGGUCAGGUUGAAGUUCAGGUAACACUGAAUGGAGGACCGAACCGACUUACGUUGAAAAGUGAGCGGAUGAACUGAGGGUAGCGGAGAAAUUCCAAUCGAACCUGGAGAUAGCUGGUUCUCUCCGAAAUAGCUUUAGGGCUAGCCUCAAGUGAUGAUUAUUGGAGGUAGAGCACUGUUUGGACGAGGGGCCCCUCUCGGGUUACCGAAUUCAGACAAACUCCGAAUGCCAAUUAAUUUAACUUGGGAGUCAGAACAUGGGUGAUAAGGUCCGUGUUCGAAAGGGAAACAGCCCAGACCACCAGCUAAGGUCCCAAAAUAUAUGUUAAGUGGAAAAGGAUGUGGCGUUGCCCAGACAACUAGGAUGUUGGCUUAGAAGCAGCCAUCAUUUAAAGAGUGCGUAAUAGCUCACUAGUCGAGUGACACUGCGCCGAAAAUGUACCGGGGCUAAACAUAUUACCGAAGCUGUGGAUUGUCCUUUGGACAAUGGUAGGAGAGCGUUCUAAGGGCGUUGAAGCAUGAUCGUAAGGACAUGUGGAGCGCUUAGAAGUGAGAAUGCCGGUGUGAGUAGCGAAAGACGGGUGAGAAUCCCGUCCACCGAUUGACUAAGGUUUCCAGAGGAAGGCUCGUCCGCUCUGGGUUAGUCGGGUCCUAAGCUGAGGCCGACAGGCGUAGGCGAUGGAUAACAGGUUGAUAUUCCUGUACCACCUAUAAUCGUUUUAAUCGAUGGGGGGACGCAGUAGGAUAGGCGAAGCGUGCGAUUGGAUUGCACGUCUAAGCAGUAAGGCUGAGUAUUAGGCAAAUCCGGUACUCGUUAAGGCUGAGCUGUGAUGGGGAGAAGACAUUGUGUCUUCGAGUCGUUGAUUUCACACUGCCGAGAAAAGCCUCUAGAUAGAAAAUAGGUGCCCGUACCGCAAACCGACACAGGUAGUCAAGAUGAGAAUUCUAAGGUGAGCGAGCGAACUCUCGUUAAGGAACUCGGCAAAAUGACCCCGUAACUUCGGGAGAAGGGGUGCUCUUUAGGGUUAACGCCCAGAAGAGCCGCAGUGAAUAGGCCCAAGCGACUGUUUAUCAAAAACACAGGUCUCUGCUAAACCGUAAGGUGAUGUAUAGGGGCUGACGCCUGCCCGGUGCUGGAAGGUUAAGAGGAGUGGUUAGCUUCUGCGAAGCUACGAAUCGAAGCCCCAGUAAACGGCGGCCGUAACUAUAACGGUCCUAAGGUAGCGAAAUUCCUUGUCGGGUAAGUUCCGACCCGCACGAAAGGCGUAACGAUUUGGGCACUGUCUCAACGAGAGACUCGGUGAAAUCAUAGUACCUGUGAAGAUGCAGGUUACCCGCGACAGGACGGAAAGACCCCGUGGAGCUUUACUGUAGCCUGAUAUUGAAAUUCGGCACAGCUUGUACAGGAUAGGUAGGAGCCUUUGAAACGUGAGCGCUAGCUUACGUGGAGGCGCUGGUGGGAUACUACCCUAGCUGUGUUGGCUUUCUAACCCGCACCACUUAUCGUGGUGGGAGACAGUGUCAGGCGGGCAGUUUGACUGGGGCGGUCGCCUCCUAAAAGGUAACGGAGGCGCUCAAAGGUUCCCUCAGAAUGGUUGGAAAUCAUUCAUAGAGUGUAAAGGCAUAAGGGAGCUUGACUGCGAGACCUACAAGUCGAGCAGGGUCGAAAGACGGACUUAGUGAUCCGGUGGUUCCGCAUGGAAGGGCCAUCGCUCAACGGAUAAAAGCUACCCCGGGGAUAACAGGCUUAUCUCCCCCAAGAGUUCACAUCGACGGGGAGGUUUGGCACCUCGAUGUCGGCUCAUCGCAUCCUGGGGCUGUAGUCGGUCCCAAGGGUUGGGCUGUUCGCCCAUUAAAGCGGUACGCGAGCUGGGUUCAGAACGUCGUGAGACAGUUCGGUCCCUAUCCGUCGUGGGCGUAGGAAAUUUGAGAGGAGCUGUCCUUAGUACGAGAGGACCGGGAUGGACAUACCUCUGGUGUACCAGUUGUCGUGCCAACGGCAUAGCUGGGUAGCUAUGUGUGGACGGGAUAAGUGCUGAAAGCAUCUAAGCAUGAAGCCCCCCUCAAGAUGAGAUUUCCCAACUUCGGUUAUAAGAUCCCUCAAAGAUGAUGAGGUUAAUAGGUUCGAGGUGGAAGCAUGGUGACAUGUGGAGCUGACGAAUACUAAUCGAUCGAAGACUUAAUCAA
This 2385-nucleotide ribosomal RNA is filed under the name Staphylococcus aureus. Its description in RNAcentral is "partial 23S ribosomal RNA". It matches the Rfam family "Bacterial large subunit ribosomal RNA", at positions 534 to 2925 of the family's 2925-position model. RNAcentral also lists the same sequence under 1 other name. The record is from RNAcentral. Lineage: Bacteria; Bacillati; Bacillota; Bacilli; Caryophanales; Staphylococcaceae.